GGCGCCAAGGCUGCUGUGAGGGAGGGGCGGGGCUUCGGUGAGGGGCUUGGCUCUGUGAGGGGCGGGGCUCCCUGAGGAGGGGGGAGCCGUGAGGUGCCUGGUGGCCGAGAGGGCGGCCCCACGCUGCCCCUGCCCUCAUUCUGGGGGGAACUGGGUUUGGUCAGGGAAUCGGAAGUGUGAGGUGAAGGCUUCAAGCAGGAGGUGGAUGUUGAAACCCACAUCCACAUUUCGUGGGUCCUCACCUGUGUUUAAGUGUUACAACCGCCCUUUGGUGUUUUCCGUGGUGAUCAAACCAGAAAGUCCUUCAGUGGAACCAGGUAUUUUGGUUUGAAGUUUCUCUUCUGUGAUCAGCUGUUCAAAAUACUCAGCAUCCAUCAUUCUACCAGACCUACUUUAAGUCUGACAUGACGCAGCGUGCACAAAUAGGGAAGGAUGUGUCUCUGUUGGCUGUAACGUGUGACUCUUUUUUACAGAUGUGGUGUCAUUUUCUUGAAAACAGAGCAAAGACCAAAUAUCCUGACAAAGGAGCAGUGAGAACAACUGAUGAGAACCCUUUUAUUUGUGAUAUGAAGAAGACAUGGAUUCAUCCUCAAAGUGGACCGUGGUACUUCUAAGUUCUUCACCAGACAUCAACAGCCUUUUUGUUUUCCUAGUCAUCUGGAGAAUGUUACAAAAGAUUGCCAGAAAUUAAAAGAAAAAGUGGACUAGUGGAACUGAAAUUGCUUUUGUGAUUCCCAUGCCUCUUAAAUUGUUGUAUUCUGAUCUGUCCGUAUGAACCUCUUUCAGAAACAAUAGUAUCUUCACACCUGGCAAAGAAUGCUUCCUUCCUCAGUUACAGCUGUGAAGACAGGGUUUGUACUUGCAUGGAAAAAUACGGAAAUUAUAUCCUCAGCUGAUGAAAUCUUCAUUUUUGGAAUCCCUCAAAAGCAUUGGACUUGCUGCCAACUAAAAGAGAAGGAAACAGAGAUUUCAGUAACAUUUAUGUCUUUUAAAAUGGGAAAUAGAGCCCCUUGCAAGUAGCUGAGAGUUGCAUUGCUUACCAUGAGUAAAAUUAGAAUACUCUACAUCUCCUUUAUGCUGGCCAUGCAUUUAACAAGCAGCACACAAGGGUACUAAUAAUUUCUUCAUUCCUCCAAACAGCAUUUAGUGAUGUGGGUUUAAGGGUUUACCUUGAAGAAUAUGUGAGUGUUGAGAUAAGAAGAAGGAGUUGAGAGGGAGGAAGCUGAAGCACACGGUUCAUUGGCCACUGCAGAUUAGCAGGUCGGCCUGUAAAAGGUUAUUUAUUAAAGCCACUGUAAAUAUGAAGUCCUGUCUCUACCAAGGAGAGAGCUCAGCAGGUCUGCACGGACCUUACGCCAUCAUGUUGAGCUGUCCAAGUUGGCUGCUCUUCACAUACUUGAGGUAUGUAUGUACAUGUACAUAUGCUCAGAGUGUGCAGUGAUGAGCACUGAUUCUGAAGCCUGUUCAGAAAUGGAAUUCUUACAGUGACAAUUUCAUUUGCGUAAGGAGUAUCAUGUUUUUUUUCCUUCCAGUCCUGAUAUCUUGUAUAGAUAUGAACUCCCAAGGGGAUGAAGGCAAAUUGGAAAUUCUGGAAAAAAAUCGAAAAGAAAUUUU
Anser brachyrhynchus (Pink-footed goose) is the source of this 1614-nucleotide long non-coding RNA. The record is from Ensembl. NCBI's taxonomy places the organism in Eukaryota, Metazoa, Chordata, Aves, Anseriformes, Anatidae.